RNAcentral lists this unclassified non-coding RNA (373 nucleotides) under soil metagenome. RNAcentral describes it as "partial contains 5.8S ribosomal RNA, internal transcribed spacer 2, and large subunit ribosomal RNA". The stretch from base 1 to 121 matches the Rfam family "5.8S ribosomal RNA", at positions 35 to 154 of the family's 154-position model. The record is from RNAcentral.
GUUGAAGAACGUAGCGAAAUGCGAUAAGUAAUGCGAAUUGCAGAAUUCCAGUGAGUCAUCGAAUCUUUGAACGCACAUUGCGCCCUUUGGUAUUCCGAAGGGCAUGCCUGUUCGAGCGUCAUUAUCACCCCUGAAGCCCUCGGCUUGGUGUUGGACGGUUUGGUGGAGGCCCCCUCGGGGGCUCCUGCCCCUCCCAAAGACAAUGACGGCGGCCUCGUUGGACCCCCGGUACACUGAGUUCUUCACGGGACACGUAUCGGACACAUGGGUUUACGGGACACGGUCUGCCUCCCCUCAGGGAGAAUCUUUCUAAGGUUGACCUCGGAUCAGGUAGGGAUACCCGCUGAACUUAAGCAUAUCAAUAAGCGGAGGA